AUUGAACGCUAGCGGGAUGCUUUACACAUGCAAGUCGAACGGCAGCGCGGACUUCGGUCUGGCGGCGAGUGGCGAACGGGUGAGUAAUGUAUCGGAACGUGCCCAGUAGCGGGGGAUAACUACGCGAAAGCGUAGCUAAUACCGCAUACGCCCUACGGGGGAAAGCAGGGGAUCGUAAGACCUUGCACUAUUGGAGCGGCCGGUAUCGGAUUAGCUAGUUGGUGAGGUAACGGCUCACCAAGGCGACGAUCCGUAGCUGGUGUGAGAGGACGACCAGCCACACUGGGACUGAGACACGGCCCAGACUCCUACGGGAGGCAGCAGUGGGGAAUUUUGGACAAUGGGGGCAACCCUGAUCCAGCCAUCCCGCGUGUGCGAUGAAGGCCUUCGGGUUGUAAAGCACUUUUGGCAGGAAAGAAACGUCGCGGGCUAAUACCCCGUGGAACUGACGGUACCUGCAGAAUAAGCACCGGCUAACUACGUG
Molecule: ribosomal RNA, 484 nt
Filed under: uncultured bacterium
Lineage: Bacteria
Description: partial 16S ribosomal RNA
Rfam family: Bacterial small subunit ribosomal RNA
Source: RNAcentral